UCCAGAAAGGGGUUGGAGGAUAAA
Molecule: non-coding RNA, 24 nt
Filed under: Arabidopsis thaliana (thale cress)
Lineage: Eukaryota; Viridiplantae; Streptophyta; Magnoliopsida; Brassicales; Brassicaceae
Source: RNAcentral